This 508-nucleotide ribosomal RNA is filed under the name Diptera sp. BOLD:ACO2149. Its description in RNAcentral is "partial 16S ribosomal RNA". It matches the Rfam family "Bacterial large subunit ribosomal RNA", at positions 1853 to 2613 of the family's 2925-position model. Lineage: Eukaryota; Metazoa; Arthropoda; Insecta; Diptera. The record is from RNAcentral.
UCUGACCUGCCCUCUGAUAAUUAUUAAAUGGCCGCAGUAUUUUAACUGUGCAAAGGUAGCAUAAUCAUUAGUCUUUUAAUUGAAGGCUUGUAUGAAUGGUUGGACGAGGCAUAUACUGUAUCAUAAUAAUAUAUAGAAUUUUAUUUUUUAGUUAAAAAGCUAAGAUUUAUAUGAAAGACGAGAAGACCCUAUAGAUCUUUAUAUUUAAAUUAUUUUUAAUUAUUUAGAUGAUUUUAGUUUAGAUUAGUUUAAAUAUUUUGUUGGGGUGACAUUAAGAUUUAUUUAACUCUUAAUUUAUUAUUACAUUAAUUUUUGAAUAUUUAUUUUUGAUCCUUUAUUAUGGAUUGUAAAAUUAAGUUACCUUAGGGAUAACAGCGUAAUUUUUCUGGAGAGUCCAUAUCAAUAGAAAAGGUUGCGACCUCGAUGUUGGAUUAAGAUAAAUAUUGGGAGCAGAAGUUCAAUUUAUUAAGUCUGUUCGACUUUUAAUUUCUUACGUGAUCUGAGUUCA